RNAcentral lists this long non-coding RNA (375 nucleotides) under Eucalyptus grandis. Its description in RNAcentral is "long non-coding RNA (EGRA_LNC006868)". Lineage: Eukaryota; Viridiplantae; Streptophyta; Magnoliopsida; Myrtales; Myrtaceae. The record is from RNAcentral.
AGGACAUCAUCCACGACCCUGAUUUUCUGGCCAAGUGCUUUGAGGAUGCUUUACUCGAAAUGAAAGCAGCAGCUUCUACUGCCUUGAACUCGAAGAAGUAAACAAGGAAACAUUCCUGUGGGGUUAGGAGGGAAAAAUCUGUAUUUUAUUCUUAUGGAUGUGGGAUUAUACACGGGGAUAAAAAGAAUCGAUCCCAUUUAUAUGAUGUUCUAUUGGGACAAGAAGAACCAUUUUAGGCCAUCGAUCCAAAUUUCGUCUUAUGUCUUACUUGAUUGAUGAAGUUAGUAGGGUGUUGCUCGAGUUCUGGAUCCAUCCACUCUAUGUUGAGCUCCAAGCAAUUGAAAAGAGAAAUGAAGAGAACAAAGUCAAUUGUAU